This is a long non-coding RNA of Actinia tenebrosa (Australian red waratah sea anemone), 175 nucleotides long. The record is from RefSeq and is a predicted model, not a curated record. Lineage: Eukaryota; Metazoa; Cnidaria; Anthozoa; Actiniaria; Actiniidae.
CAGGCAGCAAGACGAUCGUAAACGUACACCAUAUGUGAACCUCGUAAUUAUAAAUCUGUCUAUUGUGAAUGAAAUAACUGAAGAACAUCAAGAUUAUUGAGAAUUAAAACGCUGAUAUAAUCGACGAGCGUUUUGCGUUGUGUACCCAUUACUGAAUUAGAUGUCCCCACUGAAC